Molecule: ribosomal RNA, 371 nt
Filed under: uncultured bacterium
Lineage: Bacteria
Description: bacterial SSU rRNA
Rfam family: Bacterial small subunit ribosomal RNA
Source: RNAcentral
GACCAGACUCCUACGGGAGGCAGCAGUGGGGAAUAUUGCACAAUGGGCGCAAGCCUGAUGCAGCCAUGCCGCGUGUAUGAAGAAGGCCUUCGGGUUGUAAAGUACUUUCAGCGGGGAGGAAGGUGUUGAGGUUAAUAACCUCAGCAAUUGACGUUACCCGCAGAAGAAGCACCGGCUAACUCCGUGCCAGCAGCCGCAGUAAUACGGAGGGUGCAAGCGUUAAUCGGAAUUACUGGGCGUAAAGCGGACGCUGGCCGUCUGUCAAGGCGGAUGUGGAAUCCCCGGGCUCAACCUGGGAACUGCAUUCGAAACUGGCAGGGUGGAGUCGUGUAGAGGGGAGGAGAAUUCCAGGGGUAGCGGUGAAAUGCGUA